UAAACGACUCUCGGCAACGGAUAUCUCGGCUCUCGCAUCGAUGAAGAACGUAGCGAAAUGCGAUACUUGGUGUGAAUUGCAGAAUCCCGCGAACCAUCGAGUCUUUGAACGCAAGUUGCGCCCGAAGCCAUUAGGUUGAGGGCACGUCUGCCUGGGCGUCUCACGU
Molecule: ribosomal RNA, 166 nt
Filed under: Camellia reticulata
Lineage: Eukaryota; Viridiplantae; Streptophyta; Magnoliopsida; Ericales; Theaceae
Description: 5.8S ribosomal RNA
Rfam family: 5.8S ribosomal RNA
About the family: 5.8S ribosomal RNA (5.8S rRNA) is a component of the large subunit of the eukaryotic ribosome. It is transcribed by RNA polymerase I as part of the 45S precursor that also contains 18S and 28S rRNA.
Source: RNAcentral